UACGAAUGGGGCAAGCGUUGUUCGGAAUCACUGGGCUUAAAGCGUAUGCAGGUGGCCAAGCAAGUCAGAAGUGAAAUCCCUGGGCUCAACCCAGGAAUUGCUUUUGAAACUGCUCGGCUAGAAUCCCGGAGAGGUUAGUAGAAUUCCAAGUGUAGAGGUGAAAUUCGCAGAUAUUCGGAGGAAUACCAGUGGCGUAAGCGACUAACUGGACGGGCAUUGACACUCAGAUACGAAAGCGUGGGUAGCAAAC
RNAcentral lists this ribosomal RNA (250 nucleotides) under uncultured bacterium. RNAcentral describes it as "partial 16S ribosomal RNA". It matches the Rfam family "Bacterial small subunit ribosomal RNA", at positions 524 to 773 of the family's 1533-position model. The record is from RNAcentral.